CGAGCGUUGUCCGGAUUUAUUGGGCGUAAAGAGCUCGUAGGCGGUUAGAUACGUCGGAUGUGAAAUCUCCACGCUUAACGUGGAGGGUGCAUUCGAUACUGUCGUGACUAGAGUCCGGUAGAGGAGUGUGGAAUUCCUGGUGUAGCGGUGAAAUGCGCAGAUAUCAGGAGGAACACCGAUUGCGAAGGCAGCUCGCUGGGACGUAACUGACGCUGAGACGCGAAAGCGUGGGGAGCAAACAGG
RNAcentral lists this ribosomal RNA (243 nucleotides) under uncultured bacterium. RNAcentral describes it as "partial 16S ribosomal RNA". It matches the Rfam family "Bacterial small subunit ribosomal RNA", at positions 535 to 776 of the family's 1533-position model. The record is from RNAcentral.